ACACAUGCAAGUCGAACGGUAACAGGAAGCAGCUUGCUGCUUCGCUGACGAGUGGCGGACGGGUGAGUAAUGUCUGGGAAACUGCCUGAUGGAGGGGGAUAACUACUGGAAACGGUAGCUAAUACCGCAUAACGUCGCAAGACCAAAGAGGGGGACCUUCGGGCCUCUUGCCAUCGGAUGUGCCCAGAUGGGAUUAGCUAGUAGGUGGGGUAACGGCUCACCUAGGCGACGAUCCCUAGCUGGUCUGAGAGGAUGACCAGCCACACUGGAACUGAGACACGGUCCAGACUCCUACGGGAGGCAGCAGUGGGGAAUAUUGCACAAUGGGCGCAAGCCUGAUGCAGCCAUGCCGCGUGUAUGAAGAAGGCCUUCGGGUUGUAAAGUACUUUCAGCGGGGAGGAAGGCGAUAAGGUUAAUAACCUCGUCGAUUGACGUUACCCGCAGAAGAAGCACCGGCUAACUCCGUGCCAGCAGCCGCGGUAAUACGGAGGGUGCAAGCGUUAAUCGGAAUUACUGGGCGUAAAGCGCACGCAGGCGGUCUGUCAAGUCGGAUGUGAAAUCCCCGGGCUCAACCUGGGAACUGCAUUCGAAACUGGCAGGCUAGAGUCUUGUAGAGGGGGGUAGAAUUCCAGGUGUAGCGGUGAAAUGCGUAGAGAUCUGGAGGAAUACCGGUGGCGAAGGCGGCCCCCUGGACAAAGACUGACGCUCAGGUGCGAAA
Molecule: ribosomal RNA, 718 nt
Filed under: Enterobacter hormaechei
Lineage: Bacteria; Pseudomonadati; Pseudomonadota; Gammaproteobacteria; Enterobacterales; Enterobacteriaceae
Description: bacterial SSU rRNA
Rfam family: Bacterial small subunit ribosomal RNA
Source: RNAcentral